GUGUCAGCCGCCGCGGUAAUACGAAGGGGGCUAGCGUUGCUCGGAAUCACUGGGCGUAAAGGGCGCGUAGGCGGCGUUUUAAGUCGGGGGUGAAAGCCUGUGGCUCAACCACAGAAUGGCCUUCGAUACUGGGACGCUUGAGUCUGGUAGAGGUUGGUGGAACUGCGAGUGUAGAGGUGAAAUACGUAAAUUUUAGGAAGAACACCGGGUGCGAAGGCGGCAAACUG
This 227-nucleotide ribosomal RNA is filed under the name uncultured bacterium. RNAcentral's name for it is "partial 16S rRNA". It matches the Rfam family "Bacterial small subunit ribosomal RNA", at positions 505 to 731 of the family's 1533-position model. The record is from RNAcentral.